CCUACGGGAGACAGCAGUAGGGAAUAUUGCUCAAUGGGGGAAACCCUGAAGCAGCAACGCCGCGUGGAGGAUGAAGGUUUUCGGAUUGUAAACUCCUUUUGUUAGAGAAGAUAAUGACGGUAUCUAACGAAUAAGCACCGGCUAACUCCGUGCCAGCAGCCGCGGUAAUACGGAGGGUGCAAGCGUUACUCGGAAUCACUGGGCGUAAAGAGCGCGUAGGCGGGAUAGCAAGUCAGAUGUGAAAUCCUAUGGCUUAACCAUAGAACUGCAUUUGAAACUGUUAUUAUAGAGUAUAGGAGAGGUAGGUGGAAUUCUUGGUGUAGGGGUAAAAUCCGUAGAGAUCAAGAGGAAUACUCAUUGCGAAGGCGACCUGCUAGAACAUAACUGACGCUGAUGCGCGAAAGCGUGGGGAGCAAACAGGAUUAGAUACCCCAGUAGUC
Molecule: ribosomal RNA, 440 nt
Filed under: uncultured bacterium
Lineage: Bacteria
Description: partial 16S ribosomal RNA
Rfam family: Bacterial small subunit ribosomal RNA
Source: RNAcentral